Molecule: ribosomal RNA, 1168 nt
Filed under: Pseudomonas sp.
Lineage: Bacteria; Pseudomonadati; Pseudomonadota; Gammaproteobacteria; Pseudomonadales; Pseudomonadaceae
Also listed under: 1 other name
Description: bacterial SSU rRNA
Rfam family: Bacterial small subunit ribosomal RNA
Source: RNAcentral
GCUUUGGGGGGGCCAUAACAUGCAGUCGAGCGGAUGAUUGGAGCUUGCUCCAUGAUUCAGCGGCGGACGGGUGAGUAAUGCCUAGGAAUCUGCCUGGUAGUGGGGGACAACGUUUCUAAAGGAACGCUAAUACCGCAUACGUCCUACGGGAGAAAGUGGGGGAUCUUCGGACCUUGCGCUAUCAGAUGACCCUAGGUCGGAUUACCUAGUUGGUGAGGUAAAGGCUCACCAAGGCGACGAUCCGUAGCUGGUCUGAGAGGAUGAUCAGUCACACUGGAACUGAGACACGGUCCAGACUCCUACGGGAGGCACCAGUGGGGAAUAUUGGACAAUGGGCGAAAGCCUGAUCCAACCAUGCCGCGUGUGUGAACAAGGUCUUCGGAUUGUAAAGCACUUUAAGUUGGGAGGAAGGGCAGUAAGUUAAUACCUUGCUGUUUUGACGUUACCGACUGAAUAAGCACCGGCUAACUUCGUGCCAGCAGCCGCGGUAAUACGAAGGGUGCAAGCGUUAAUCGGAAUUACUGGGCGUAAAGCGCGCGUAUGUGGUUCGUUAAGUUGGAUGUGAAAGCCCCAGGCUCAACCUGGGAACUGCAUCCAAAACUGGCGAGCUAGAGUAUGGCACAUGGUGGUGGAAUUUCCUGUGUAGCGGUGAAAUGCGUAGAUAUAGGAAGGAACACCAGUGGCGAACGCGACCACCUGGGCUAAUACUGACACUGAUGUGCGAAAGCGUGGGGAGCAAACAGGAUUAGAUACCCUGGUAGUCCACGCCGUAAACGAUGUCGACUAGCCGUUGGGAUCCUUGAUAUCUUAGUGGCGCACCUAACGCAUUAAGUCUACCGCCUGGGGAGUACGGCCGCAAGGUUAAAACUCAAAUGAAUUGACUGGGAGCCCGCACAAGCGGAUCGCAGCAUGUGGUUUAAUUCUGAUGCAUCGCGUAGAACCUUACCAGGCAUCGACAUGCAGACACGUUUCCAGAGGUGGAUUGUGACAUCGAGACUCUGACUCAGUGCUGCAUGCUGUCGGUCAGCUCGGGUCUCGACAUGCUCGGUCAAGUACACUGUACGGAUCAGCUACCUAGUCAUUAGUAACAGUCACGUAGUGGCGGCACCUUAAGUGAACUGUCGGAUGUACAAAUCGGGAGGUAACGUAGCGAUGGACGUCUAGGUCA